AAGGGCGCCGUGACACCACAUCCCAGGGACCCUUUCUGUUGCCGCGGUUGUCAUCCUCUCGUUUUGCUCCCAGCUGCAGGUGCCACAUGAGGCGCCCUUCCCUUCCUGAAGCUCUUGCUCUCUCGGCUUCCAUGAGACCCCCGCCCCUCCUAGCUGGCCUCCAAGGUCUGCUUCUUCGUGAGCUCCUUUGUCAGCUCCUCCUAUUCCACCCAACUUGAAAUGUCAAUAUUUCUUAGUAACUAGACCUGAAUUUCCUAUUCUCUUUUUCCUGUCUAGGGCCUCUCAUUUAUUCUCCUGGUUUUAAGUGUCGCAUGUCAGCUCCUAGAUUUGUAAACCCAAACCUGAGUUCUGAAAUCCGGACUUCUCAACUAGCAGGUGGCGGUGGUUUAGUUGUGGACCACGUUUCAUCAGAAUUCUCCACUAUGACCCAUCCAUCUUGGGCAGCCCUCUACAGCACGGCUCAUAGCUUCAUUGAGUUACUCAAGCUCCUUCACCACAACAAGGCUGUGAUCCAUGAACGGGAUAUUGUCUACACUGGAUUAAGUAAAAUAUGUUAACUUC
This 561-nucleotide long non-coding RNA is filed under the name Capra hircus (goat). RNAcentral's name for it is "lncRNA (ENSCHIG00000002184.1)". The record is from RNAcentral. Lineage: Eukaryota; Metazoa; Chordata; Mammalia; Artiodactyla; Bovidae.